RNAcentral lists this unclassified non-coding RNA (144 nucleotides) under uncultured fungus. RNAcentral describes it as "sequence contains ITS2". Lineage: Eukaryota; Fungi. The record is from RNAcentral.
CAACCCUCAAGCCUGGCUUGGUGUUGGGGACCUGCGCACUGCAGUCCCUUAAAUCCAGUGGCGGACACGCUAGGUCUCCGAGCGCAGUAGUUUCUUCUCGCUUUGGGCGUCCGGCGUGGGCUUGCCUCGCACCCAACUUCUCAA